CCGGUCGGAUGCCAAACCACUCGCGAGGGUGGGACGGAAAGCCAAGGAUCUCUGGACUCCAAAAGAACAAGAGACAGCCUGGUUGCAAAG
RNAcentral lists this non-coding RNA (90 nucleotides) under Marinobacter santoriniensis. Its description in RNAcentral is "c-di-GMP sequence". It matches the Rfam family "c-di-GMP-I riboswitch aptamer". From Rfam's summary of the family: GEMM was predicted in a large-scale screen for bacterial structured RNA regulatory elements. Genes associated with GEMM are involved in a diverse array of functions, including chemotaxis regulation, signal transduction, secretion and chitin. Lineage: Bacteria; Pseudomonadati; Pseudomonadota; Gammaproteobacteria; Pseudomonadales; Marinobacteraceae. The record is from RNAcentral.